This is a long non-coding RNA of Strigops habroptila (Kakapo), 685 nucleotides long. RefSeq lists it as uncharacterized. The record is from RefSeq and is a predicted model, not a curated record. The transcript has 3 exons. NCBI's taxonomy places the organism in Eukaryota, Metazoa, Chordata, Aves, Psittaciformes, Psittacidae.
CAGCAACAUAAUGUUCAAUAUGUACCCUUGGUAGACAUUCUGGUGCAUAUUCUCAUUGAUCUACAUUGAACUAAAUCAAAGCAACUUUUAAUCUUCUGUUUAAAUGUUUAUAUUGAAGAGUGUACCACUUUGUGUUCCACUUCCUUUGUCAUCUGUGUUAUCUUCCCUUUUUGCAGCUGAUACUGUACUGUAUCUAGUUGUUCCUCACUUGGAAGUUUAGAAGCUGUUUUUAGAAUAACCCUACAAUGACUUAUUGAAUUAUUUUUUUAUAACUUACAGAAAUGUUGGAGAUUAAAUUAUUUGUCAAAAAAUAAAGAUGGUAAAGUACAUCUGAGAUUAAAUUCAGCUGAUUAGAUGAAAAUUCAGUCAAGCAAUGAGAAUUAAAAAAAAUACAGCAAAAAAUGUUAGGUACAGAGAAGUGGUAGAUUUAUGUCACUUAUGUGGGAUAAUAUGUAACCUGUUAAAAGUUGUUAUGAAAGGGUAGUGUUUAAAAAAUUAUAUCUGAAGUGUUUGAUACUUGAAAUUUUCUUUUUAAGUUUGUGUUGUUUGGAAUGUAAUAUGCCUGUGUGGAUUGAAGACAUUUGUCUCUGAUCUGGUAUAUUAGGAAGAGUUAAAGAACAGUCUAUUUGCAAGGCUUGUUAUUUUGGGUUUGUAUCUAAAUUAAAGGCUCUGUUUCUCUGCACAG